Molecule: ribosomal RNA, 482 nt
Filed under: uncultured bacterium
Lineage: Bacteria
Description: partial 16S ribosomal RNA
Rfam family: Bacterial small subunit ribosomal RNA
Source: RNAcentral
AUUGAACGCUGGCGGCAUGCUUUACACAUGCAAGUCGAACGGUAACAGGCCGCAAGGUGCUGACGAGUGGCAAACGGGUGAGUAAUGCAUCGGAACGUGCCCAGUCGUGGGGGAUAACUACUCGAAAGAGUAGCUAAUACCGCAUACGAUCUAUGGAUGAAAGCGGGGGACCGUAAGGCCUCGCGCGAUUGGAGCGGCCGAUGUCAGAUUAGGUAGUUGGUGGGGUAAAGGCUCACCAAGCCAACGAUCUGUAGCUGGUCUGAGAGGACGACCAGCCACACUGGGACUGAGACACGGCCCAGACUCCUACGGGAGGCAGCAGUGGGGAAUUUUGGACAAUGGGCGCAAGCCUGAUCCAGCAAUGCCGCGUGCAGGAAGAAGGCCUUCGGGUUGUAAACUGCUUUUGUACGGAACGAAACGGCUCCGGUUAAUACCCGGGGCUAAUGACGGUACCGUAAGAAUAAGCACCGGCUAACUACGUG